GAGUUUGAUCGUGGCUCAAGGAUGAACGCUGGCGGCGUGCCUAAUUCAUGCAAGUCGAGCGAACGGACGAGAAGCUUGCUUCUCUGAUGUUAGCGGCGGACGGGUGAGUAACACGUGGAUAACCUACCUAUAAGACUGGGAUAACUUCGGGAAACCGGAGCUAAUACCGGAUAAAUAUUUUGAACCGCAUGGUUCAAAAGUGAAAGACGGUCUUGCUGUCACUUAUAGAUGGAUCCGCGCUGCAUUAGCUAGUUGGUAAGGUAACGGCUUACCAAGGCAACGAUGCAUAGCCGACCUUGAGAGGG
Molecule: ribosomal RNA, 305 nt
Filed under: uncultured microorganism
Description: bacterial SSU rRNA
Rfam family: Bacterial small subunit ribosomal RNA
Source: RNAcentral